GAUGAGCGCUAGCGGGAGGCUUAAUACAUGCAAGUCGAGCGGUAGAGUGGUCUUCGGACUGCUUGAGAGCGGCGCACGGGUGAGUAACGCGUACACAAUCUACCUUAUACAGAGGAAUAGCCCUGGGAAACCGGGAUUAAUACCUCAUAGUCCGUAAUGAUCGCAUGAUUAUAACGGUAAAGCUCCGGCGGUAUAAGAUGAGUGUGCGCACUAUUAGUUAGUUGGUGAGGUAACGGCUCACCAAGACGAUGAUAGUUAGGGGGCGUGAGAGCGUGAUCCCCCACACGGGUUCUGAGACACGGACCCG
RNAcentral lists this ribosomal RNA (307 nucleotides) under uncultured Lewinella sp. RNAcentral describes it as "bacterial SSU rRNA". It matches the Rfam family "Bacterial small subunit ribosomal RNA", at positions 28 to 334 of the family's 1533-position model. Lineage: Bacteria; Pseudomonadati; Bacteroidota; Saprospiria; Saprospirales; Lewinellaceae. The record is from RNAcentral.